This 290-nucleotide ribosomal RNA is filed under the name uncultured bacterium. Its description in RNAcentral is "partial 16S ribosomal RNA". It matches the Rfam family "Bacterial small subunit ribosomal RNA", at positions 775 to 1067 of the family's 1533-position model. The record is from RNAcentral.
GGAUUAGAUACCCUGGUAGUCCACGCCGUAAACGAUGGACACUAGUUGUUGGAAUUCUUCAGUGACUAAGCGAAAGUGAUAAGUGUCCCACCUGGGGAGUACGAUCGCAAGAUUGAAACUCAAAGGAAUUGACGGGGGCCCGCACAAGCGGUGGAGCAUGUGGUUUAAUUCGAGGCAACGCGCAGAACCUUACCAGCCCUUGACAUGGGGAGUAUGGUUCCUGGAGACAGGAUCCUUCAGUUCGGGUGGCUCCCGCACAGGUGCUGCAUGGCUGUCGUCAGCUCGUGUCG